This 824-nucleotide ribosomal RNA is filed under the name uncultured organism. RNAcentral's name for it is "bacterial SSU rRNA". It matches the Rfam family "Bacterial small subunit ribosomal RNA", at positions 92 to 944 of the family's 1533-position model. The record is from RNAcentral.
CUAGUGGCGGACGGGUGAGGAACACGUAAGAACCUACCCCUAGGAGGGGGACAACAACUGGAAACGGUUGCUAAUACCCCAUAUGCUGAGGAGCGAAACGGUGAAAACCGCCUAGGGACGGGCUUGCGUCUGAUUAGCUUGUUGGUGAGGUAAAUGCUUACCAAGGCAAUGAUCAGUAGCUGGUCUGAGAGGAUGAUCAGCCACACUGGGACUGAGACACGGCCCAGACUCCUACGGGAGGCAGCAGUGAGGAAUUUUCCGCAAUGGGCGAAAGCCUGACGGAGCAAUGCCGCGUGGAGGAUGAAAGCCUGUGGGUCGUAAACUCCUUUUCUCAGAGAAGAAGAUCUGACGGUAUCUGAGGAAUAAGCAUCGGCUAACUCCGUGCCAGCAGCCGCGGUAAUACGGAGGAUGCAAGCGUUAUCCGGAAUGAUUGGGCGUAAAGCGUCUGUAGGUGGUUUCAUAAGUCCACUGUCAAAGAUCAGGGCUUAACCCUGGGCAGGCAGUGGAAACUAUGAGGCUUGAGUACGGUAGGGGCAGAGGGAAUUCCCGGUGUAGCGGUGAAAUGCGUAGAGAUCGGGAAGAACACCAAUGGCGAAAGCACUCUGCUGGGCCGAAACUGACACUGAGAGACGAAAGCUAGGGGAGCAAAUGGGAUUAGAUACCCCAGUAGUCCUAGCCGUAAACGAUGGAUACUAAGUGCUGUCCGAUUCAAACCGUCCAGUACUGUAGCUAACGCGUGAAGUAUCCCGCCUGGGGAGUAUGCUCCGCAAGAGUGAAACUUCAAAGGAAUUGACGGGGGCCCGCACAAGCGGUGGAGCAUGUGG